RNAcentral lists this ribosomal RNA (436 nucleotides) under Enterococcus casseliflavus. RNAcentral describes it as "bacterial SSU rRNA". It matches the Rfam family "Bacterial small subunit ribosomal RNA", at positions 28 to 443 of the family's 1533-position model. Lineage: Bacteria; Bacillati; Bacillota; Bacilli; Lactobacillales; Enterococcaceae. The record is from RNAcentral.
GACGAACGCUGGCGGCGUGCCUAAUACAUGCAAGUCGAACGCUUUUUCUUUCACCGGAGCUUGCUCCACCGAAAGAAAAAGAGUAGCGAACGGGUGAGUAACACGUGGGUAACCUGCCCAUCAGAUGGGGAUAACACUUGGAAACAGGUGCUAAUACCGUAUAACACUAUUUUCCGCAUGGAAGAAAGUUGAAAGGCGCUUUUGCGUCACUGAUGGAUGGACCCGCGGUGCAUUAGCUAGUUGGUGAGGUAACGGCUCACCAAGGCAACGAUGCAUAGCCGACCUGAGAGGGUGAUCGGCCACACUGGGACUGAGACACGGCCCAGACUCCUACGGGAGGCAGCAGUAGGGAAUCUUCGGCAAUGGACGAAAGUCUGACCGAGCAACGCCGCGUGAGUGAAGAAGGUUUUCGGAUCGUAAAAACUCUGUUGUUAGA